UUUGAGGACGCUGGCGGUUCCCUUAACAUGCAAGUCGAACGGCAGCACGGGAGCAAUCCUGGUGGCGAGUGGCGAACGGGUGAGUAAUAUAUCGGAACGUGCCCAGUCGUGGGGGAUAACGGAGCGAAAGCUACGCUAAUACCGCAUACCGAUCUAUGGAUGAAAGCGGGGGAUCGCAAGACCUCGCGCGAUUGGAGCGGCCGAUAUCAUAUUAGGUUGUUGGUGGGGUAAAAGCCUACCAAGCCUGCGAUCUGUAGCUGGUCUGAGAGGACGACCAGCCACACUGGAACUGAGACACGGUCCAGACUCCUACGGGAGGCAGCAGUGGGGAAUUUUGGACAAUGGGCGCAAGCCUGAUCCAGCAAUGCCGCGUGCAGGAUGAAGGCCUUCGGGUUGUAAACUGCUUUUGUCGGAACGAAACGGUUCUUUCUAAUACAGAGAGCUAAUGACGGUCCGUAAGAAUAAGACCGGCUACUACGUGCCAGCAGCCGGGGUAUACGUAGGGUGCCAAGCGUUAUUCGGAAUACUGGCCGUAAAGCGUCCCCAGCCGGUUAUGUAAGACGAUUGG
RNAcentral lists this ribosomal RNA (568 nucleotides) under uncultured Antarctic soil bacterium. Its description in RNAcentral is "bacterial SSU rRNA". It matches the Rfam family "Bacterial small subunit ribosomal RNA", at positions 24 to 595 of the family's 1533-position model. The record is from RNAcentral.